This 377-nucleotide ribosomal RNA is filed under the name uncultured bacterium. RNAcentral's name for it is "bacterial SSU rRNA". It matches the Rfam family "Bacterial small subunit ribosomal RNA", at positions 523 to 898 of the family's 1533-position model. The record is from RNAcentral.
AGACGUAGGGGGCGAGCGUUGUCCGGAAUCACUGGGCGUAAAGAGCACGUAGGCGGGAUAUUAAGUCAGGUGUGAAAGACCGUGGCUCAACCACGGGGUUGCAUUUGAAACUGAUAUUCUUGAGGGCAGGAGAGGACAGUAGAAUUCCUGGUGUAGCGGUGAAAUGCGUAGAAAUCAGGAGGAAUACCGGUGGCGAAGGCGACUGUCUGGACUGACCCUGACGCUGAGGUGCGAAAGCGUGGGUAGCAAACAGGAUUAGAUACCCUGGUAGUCCACGCCGUAAACUAUGGAUACUAGGUGUAGGAGGUAUCGACCCCUUCUGUGCCGCAGCAAACGCAAUAAGUAUCCCGCCUGGGGAGUACGGCCGCAAGGUUGAA